RNAcentral lists this transfer RNA (68 nucleotides) under human gut metagenome. It matches the Rfam family "tRNA". From Rfam's summary of the family: Transfer RNA (tRNA) molecules are approximately 80 nucleotides in length. The record is from RNAcentral.
GCUGUAGCCAAGUCGGUUAAGGCACCAGAUUUUGAUUCUGGCAUUCCGUAGGUUCGAAUCCUGCCAGC